UACAGAGGUCUCAAGCGUUGUUCGGAUUCAUUGGUCGUAAAGGGCGCGUAGGCUGCGGGGCAAGUCGGGUGUGAAAUCUCAGAGCUCAACUCUGAAACUGCACUCGAUACUGCUUUGCUUGAGGACUGGAGAGGAGAUUGGAAUUCACGGUGUAGCAGUGAAAUGCGUAGAUAUCGUGAGGAAGACCAGUGGCGAAGGCGGAUCUCUGGACAGUUCCUGACGCUGAGGCGCGAAGGCCAGGGGAGCAAACGGG
RNAcentral lists this ribosomal RNA (253 nucleotides) under uncultured bacterium. RNAcentral describes it as "partial 16S ribosomal RNA". It matches the Rfam family "Bacterial small subunit ribosomal RNA", at positions 524 to 776 of the family's 1533-position model. The record is from RNAcentral.